Molecule: ribosomal RNA, 448 nt
Filed under: uncultured bacterium
Lineage: Bacteria
Description: bacterial SSU rRNA
Rfam family: Bacterial small subunit ribosomal RNA
Source: RNAcentral
UCCCAGACUCCUACGGGAGGCAGCAGUGGGGAAUAUUGCACAAUGGGGGGAACCCUGAUGCAGCGACGCCGCGCGGGUGAAGAAGUAUUUCGGUAUGUAAAGCCCUAUCGGCAGGGAAGAAAUUGGACGGUACCUGACUAAGAAGCCCCGACUAACUACGUGCCAGCAGCCGCGGGAAUACGUAGGGGGCAAGCGUUAUCCGGAUUCACUGGGUGUAAAGGGAGCGUAGACGGCCAUGCAAGCCUGGAGUGAAAGCCCGGGGCCCAACCCCGGGACUGCUCUGGGAACUGUGCGGCUGGAGUGCGGGAGGGGCAGGCGGAAUUCCUGGUGUAGCGGUGAAAUGCGUAGAUAUCAGGAGGAACACCGGCGGCGAAGGCGGCCUGCUGGACCGCGACUGUCGUUGAGGCUCGAAAGCGUGGGGAGCAAACAGGAUUAGAUACCCUAGUAG